This 1372-nucleotide ribosomal RNA is filed under the name uncultured bacterium. Its description in RNAcentral is "bacterial SSU rRNA". It matches the Rfam family "Bacterial small subunit ribosomal RNA", at positions 28 to 1381 of the family's 1533-position model. The record is from RNAcentral.
GAUGAACGCUGGCGGCGUGCCUAAUACAUGCAAGUCGAGCGAACGGACGAGAAGCUUGCUUUUCUGAUGUUAGCGGCGGACGGGUGAGUAACGCGUGGAUAACCUACCUAUAAGACUGGGAUAACUUCGGGAAACCGGAGCUAAUACCGGAUAAUAUUUUGAACCGCAUGGUUCAAAAGUGAAAGACGGUCUUGCUGUCACUUAUAGAUGGAUCCGCGCUGCAUUAGCUAGUUGGUAAGGUAACGGCUUACCAAGGCAACGAUGCAUAGCCGGCCUGAGAGGGUGAUCGGCCACACUGGAACUGAGACACGGUCCAGACUCCUACGGGAGGCAGCAGUAGGGAAUCUUCCGCAAUGGGCGAAAGCCUGACGGAGCAACGCCGCGUGAGUGAUGAAGGUCUUCGGAUCGUAAAACUCUGUUAUUAGGGAAGAACAUAUGUGUAAGUAACUGUGCACAUCUUGACGGUACCUAAUCAGAAAGCCACGGCUAACUACGUGCCAGCAGCCGCGGUAAUACGUAGGUGGCAAGCGUUAUCCGGAAUUAUUGGGCGUAAAGCGCGCGUAGGCGGUUUUUUAAGUCUGAUGUGAAAGCCCACGGCUCAACCGUGGAGGGUCAUUGGAAACUGGAAAACUUGAGUGCAGAAGAGGAAAGUGGAAUUCCAUGUGUAGCGGUGAAAUGCGCAGAGAUAUGGAGGAACACCAGUGGCGAAGGCGACUUUCUGGUCUGUAACUGACGCUGAUGUGCGAAAGCGUGGGGAUCAAACAGGAUUAGAUACCCUGGUAGUCCACGCCGUAAACGAUGAGUGCUAAGUGUUAGGGGGUUUCCGCCCCUUAGUGCUGCAGCUAACGCAUUAAGCACUCCGCCUGGGGAGUACGACCGCAAGGUUGAAACUCAAAGGAAUUGACGGGGACCCGCACAAGCGGUGGAGCAUGUGGUUUAAUUCGAAGCAACGCGAAGAACCUUACCAAAUCUUGACAUCCUUUGACAACUCUAGAGAUAGAGCCUUCCCCUUCGGGGGACAAAGUGACAGGUGGUGCAUGGUUGUCGUCAGCUCGUGUCGUGAGAUGUUGGGUUAAGUCCCGCAACGAGCGCAACCCUUAAGCUUAGUUGCCAUCAUUAAGUUGGGCACUCUAAGUUGACUGCCGGUGACAAACCGGAGGAAGGUGGGGAUGACGUCAAAUCAUCAUGCCCCUUAUGAUUUGGGCUACACACGUGCUACAAUGGACAAUACAAAGGGCAGCGAAACCGCGAGGUCAAGCAAAUCCCAUAAAGUUGUUCUCAGUUCGGAUUGUAGUCUGCAACUCGACUACAUGAAGCUGGAAUCGCUAGUAAUCGUAGCUCAGCAUGCUACGGUGAAUACGUUCCCGGGUCU